Molecule: non-coding RNA, 611 nt
Organism: Xyrichtys novacula (pearly razorfish)
Lineage: Eukaryota; Metazoa; Chordata; Actinopteri; Labriformes; Labridae
Source: the annotation of a GenBank genome assembly
CUAGAAGUAGAUUUCCUCCUCUGGAAGGACACAAUCUACUGCUUAUAUGUCUAUGUGUCUGUCUUUAGAGAGACAACUCGUUAUCACGCGAUUGAACGUGAAUCCACGGGUUCUUGUGAGUUCUCGCGAUUCCUGCUGUCCGUAAUCCGCCAUGAAAUUCGCCUCACAAAUGAAUCCGGUAAAAAUUAGAUUUCCUCCUCCUUUACUACUGUAGUAAAAUGAAAAGGUAAAGGUGUUUUUAUUGAGCCGAAUUAUCAAUAAAAUCAUGAUUUUGUUAACAGGUCUGGAUUUAUGUGCUGUCGAGUUAAUAUAUUAGAACAAGAGCACAGUAAAGUUAAAUCAGCUAAUUUUCCAAUGAGGUUCUGUUACUGAACGGAACUACACCAUGAUCUACUGAGGUUAGUACAUAUAGGGUCACAGACAUAGUACUAGACACCAAACAUCUUUUUAACUUUGACUCAUUUCUUUAGCAAAGAGACUAAACACAACUCACCUACUCUCUUCCAGCAGACGCUUGUUUGUAGUGAGACCUCAGGCCAGUCUAUUACGGACUACAGCGGGGUGCCGCAGCUCAAGGAAGAACAUUUAUGAUCAUUUCUUCAUCAUUUCCU